CACCCACCUCGGUCUUCCAAAGUGCUGGGACUACAGUGUGAGCCACUUCACCUGACCUUGUGAAAUAUUUUGAACCAAUUACAGGACAAUCAGAAAACAGGGUUCCUCCUCCACAAGGGAUCUUCUGAAUUGUUUAUAUGGAAGAAAGGUACUCAAGCUGGCACUGUCUUAAAAUAUAAUUUUAUUGCAUGUUGUAGUAUUAUCAAUGGCCAAUUGGCCAUGUCCGUCAACUUUAGUCCAUAAAUUGAAUAGUAGAAUCUAGUUGCUGUUAAGUGAAGAACGCUGUGCUUUUGUUGCUGAAAUCCCAUCUAAAAUCUGUAAAGUAGAUUGACAGCAAUAACAAGGAGCACAUGAGUGCUCUUGUGAGCAUGCUCAGUGGAAGGCUCAUGGGAGCCUGAUUAAAGCUGAGAAAAGUGGGGAAACAAUGAUUAACUUAUACAGGCUGGGAAUUAAUUAUCUCCAUCCAACACAUUCAGUAUCAAAGUGAGCCGAUCUCACUCACUGUCAGACACUGCAGAGCAAGAAACAGAUGAUGGUUCCAAGGCAAACAUCCUUUUGCUGAAUAUUCUACCUACGUGGCUCUUAAAACUGUGGCCCGAGCAGUUUCUCACUCUCCAGCUAGUCCACCGGCAAUUUCCAACAAGUUGUCAAAGUUACCUCUUGCAUGCUUUUGCCAGUCUGUGGCUCCCGUUGCUUCUGUUCCAGGUAAGCAGACCUCUGCUAUACUCUCUGUCUCUCUAGAUUUUAUGGUGAUAAUUUGUCCUGUACAAGUGCAAGUCAUUGAUUUUCAGUUUAUCCAGCUUUUUCUUGUUGUUAGGCUAGAAGUGGUGACUCCCAAGUUCUUAUGUGUUGGAACUGAAACCAGAAGUCUACAUACUUGUUUCUAAAACUGGGUUUCUUAAAAACUCUCUGGACCUCAGUUUCAACAUUUGUAAACUGGAUGUAACAAUAUCUGCCUUCUAUGGUGAUUGUGGGGAAUAAAGGAGAAAAUGUGAAGUGCUUAGCACAUAAUACCCAGC
This 1019-nucleotide long non-coding RNA is filed under the name Papio anubis (olive baboon). Its description in RNAcentral is "lncRNA (ENSPANG00000037730.1)". Lineage: Eukaryota; Metazoa; Chordata; Mammalia; Primates; Cercopithecidae. The record is from RNAcentral.